UACGUAGGGGGCAAGCGUUGUCCGGAUUUAUUGGGCGUAAAGAGCGUGUAGGCGGCCAGGUAGGUCAGCUGUGAAAACUCGAGGCUCAACCUCGAGACGCCGGUUGAAACCAUCUGGCUAGAGUCCGGAAGAGGAGAGUGGAAUUCCGUGGAUGUAGCGGUGAAAUGCGCAGAUAUCAGGAAGAACACCCGUGGCUAAGGCGGCUCUCUAGUACGGUACUGACGCUGAAGACGCGAAAGCGUGGGGAGCGAACAGG
This 256-nucleotide ribosomal RNA is filed under the name uncultured bacterium. RNAcentral describes it as "partial 16S ribosomal RNA". It matches the Rfam family "Bacterial small subunit ribosomal RNA", at positions 524 to 776 of the family's 1533-position model. The record is from RNAcentral.